Long non-coding RNA from Alligator mississippiensis (American alligator), 453 nucleotides. RefSeq lists it as uncharacterized. NCBI's taxonomy places the organism in Eukaryota, Metazoa, Chordata, Crocodylia, Alligatoridae. The record is from RefSeq and is a predicted model, not a curated record. The transcript has 3 exons.
CAGUAAAAGACUUUGAAUUAAUUCACUUUUGUGUAUUACAUCCCAUUUCUCGUUGUUCAUUUAAUUCUUUCCUUAUCCCAGUGACCUUGAUUUGUUUCCUUUCUAUAGGCACCAAAUUAAUGUGACCUGUCUGGAAAACUACUGCUGUAUCAAACAAUGCAACAAAUUCAGAUUUGAUAUUAUAUUUAAGUGCAAAACCAGACCAGAAGUCAGUACAACCUCCAUGAAAAGACUAUAAAUGGACCAGAUUUACAAGAAGAUCAAGUUAAGUGAGAUAAGGUUUAACAGCUUUAAAAAUACAAGGGAAACAUGUCUCAGCAUUUGGGUCUCUGAAUUGACUGGGAACUCUUCCUGAAAAUAGGACUUGUAUACUGAAGGGGAAAUACACAUUUUCAGUGCAUAACCAAGACAAACAUUAUAAUAAACAUUCAGAGCCACUGGCACAUAACUAGG